CAUGCAAGUCGAGCGGUAGCACAGAGAGCUUGCUCUCGGGUGACGAGCGGCGGACGGGUGAGUAAUGUCUGGGAAACUGCCUGAUGGAGGGGGAUAACUACUGGAAACGGUAGCUAAUACCGCAUAACGUCGCAAGACCAAAGUGGGGGACCUUCGGGCCUCAUGCCAUCAGAUGUGCCCAGAUGGGAUUAGCUAGUAGGUGGGGUAAUGGCUCACCUAGGCGACGAUCCCUAGCUGGUCUGAGAGGAUGACCAGCCACACUGGAACUGAGACACGGUCCAGACUCCUACGGGAGGCAGCAGUGGGGAAUAUUGCACAAUGGGCGCAAGCCUGAUGCAGCCAUGCCGCGUGUAUGAAGAAGGCCUUCGGGUUGUAAAGUACUUUCAGCGAGGAGGAAGGCAUUAAGGUUAAUAACCUUGGUGAUUGACGUUACUCGCAGAAGAAGCACCGGCUAACUCCGUGCCAGCAGCCGCGGUAAUACGGAGGGUGCAAGCGUUAAUCGGAAUUACUGGGCGUAAAGCGCACGCAGGCGGUCUGUCAAGUCGGAUGUGAAAUCCCCGGGCUCAACCUGGGAACUGCAUUCGAAACUGGCAGGCUAGAGUCUUGUAGAGGGGGGUAGAAUUCCAGGUGUAGCGGUGAAAUGCGUAGAGAUCUGGAGGAAUACCGGUGGCGAAGGCGGCCCCCUGGACAAAGACUGACGCUCAGGUGCGAAAGCGUGGGGAGCAAACAGGAUUAGAUACCCUGGUAGUCCACGCCGUAAACGAUGUCGACUUGGAGGUUGUGCCCUUGAGGCGUGGCUUCCGGAGCUAACGCGUUAAGUCGACCGCCUGGGGAGUACGGCCGCAAGGUUAAAACUCAAAUGAAUUGACGGGGGCCCGCACAAGCGGUGGAGCAUGUGGUUUAAUUCGAUGCAACGCGAAGAACCUUACCUACUCUUGACAUCCAGAGAACUUAGCAGAGAUGCUUUGGUGCCUUCGGGAACUCUGAGACAGGUGCUGCAUGGCUGUCGUCAGCUCGUGUUGUGAAAUGUUGGGUUAAGUCCCGCAACGAGCGCAACCCUUAUCCUUUGUUGCCAGCGGUUCGGCCGGGAACUCAAAGGAGACUGCCAGUGAUAAACUGGAGGAAGGUGGGGAUGACGUCAAGUCAUCAUGGCCCUUACGAGUAGGGCUACACACGUGCUACAAUGGCAUAUACAAAGAGAAGCGACCUCGCGAGAGCAAGCGGACCUCAUAAAGUAUGUCGUAGUCCGGAUUGGAGUCUGCAACUCGACUCCAUGAAGUCGGAAUCGCUAGUAAUCGUAGAUCAGAAUGCUACGGUGAAUACGUUCCCGGGCCUUGUACACACCGCCCGUCACACCAUGGGAGUGGGUUGCAAAAGAAGUAGGUAGCUUANCCUUCGGGAGGGCGCUACCAC
RNAcentral lists this ribosomal RNA (1413 nucleotides) under Klebsiella sp. RNAcentral describes it as "bacterial SSU rRNA". It matches the Rfam family "Bacterial small subunit ribosomal RNA". Lineage: Bacteria; Pseudomonadati; Pseudomonadota; Gammaproteobacteria; Enterobacterales; Enterobacteriaceae. The record is from RNAcentral.